RNAcentral lists this ribosomal RNA (253 nucleotides) under uncultured bacterium. Its description in RNAcentral is "partial 16S ribosomal RNA". It matches the Rfam family "Bacterial small subunit ribosomal RNA", at positions 524 to 776 of the family's 1533-position model. The record is from RNAcentral.
GACGUAGGGGGCCAGCGUUGUUCGGAAUUACUGGGUGUAAAGGGUUCGUAGGCGGUGCGGCAAGUCGGGAGUGAAAUCUCUGGGCUUAACCCAGAGGCUGCUUCCGAAACUGCUGUGCUUGAGUGUGGGAGAGGCGCGUGGAAUUGCAGGUGUAGCGGUGAAAUGCGUAGAUAUCUGCAGGAACACCCGUGGCGAAAGCGGCGCGCUGGACCACUACUGACGCUGAGACGCGAAAGCGUGGGGAGCAAACAGG